UUGCUCUUCAACGAGGAAUGCCUAGUAAGCGCAUGUCAUCAGCAUGCGUUGAUUACGUCCCUGCCCUUUGUACACACCGCCCGUCGCUACUACCGAUUGAAUGGCUCAGUGAGGCCUUCGGACUGGCUCGGAGAGGUUGGCAACGACCACUCCGAGCCGGAAAGUUCGUCAAACUCGGUCAUUUAGAGGAAGUAAAAGUCGUAACAAGGUUUCCGUAGGUGAACCUGCGGAAGGAUCAUUACCUAGAGUUGUAGGCUUUGCCUGCUAUCUCUUACCCAUGUCUUUUAAGUACCUUACGUUUCCUCGGCGGGUCCGCCCGCCGAUUGGACAAUUUAAACCAUUUGCAGUUGCAAUCAGCGUCUGAAAAAACUUAAUAGUUACAACUUUCAACAACGGAUCUCUUGGUUCUGGCAUCGAUGAAGAACGCAGCGAAAUGCGAUAAGUAGUGUGAAUUGCAGAAUUCAGUGAAUCAUCGAAUCUUUGAACGCACAUUGCGCCCCUUGGUAUUCCAUGGGGCAUGCCUGUUCGAGCGUCAUUUGUACAAUCAAGCACUGCUUGGUGUUGGGCGUUUGUCUCGCAAGGGACUCGCCUCAAAGUCAUUGGCGGCCAACGCAGUCGUGGCAGAGCGCAGCACAAUCUUGCGUCUCUCCCUUCAGUGUCGGCGUCCAUCAAGCCUACAAUUUUCACGCUUGACCCCGGAUCAGGUAGGGACACCCGCUGAACGUAAGCAUAUCAAUAAGCGGAGGA
Molecule: ribosomal RNA, 747 nt
Filed under: uncultured fungus
Lineage: Eukaryota; Fungi
Description: eukaryotic LSU rRNA
Rfam family: Eukaryotic small subunit ribosomal RNA (bases 1-241)
Source: RNAcentral